UUUGGAACCAACUGAGAGAUAAACACAGCUGUUGGAUGGAGAACAAAAAUGUUAGUUUCAUUACCAAGGACGGCUGGAUUGGAAGCUAUGACUUAGGGGUGUGGCCAUGUGGACAUCCUGAAACAACCCCAGACUUUGAAAUACUCUCCUGGCCACAAGCACAGCUGGGCAGGGAUAGUCUACUGCUGCCUCCUCCUCAGGGGAGAUCAGAGAGGGUAGCUUCUCGAGGCUGAGCUGCUUCAUGGGGGCUGAGCUCAGUUCCUUCAUCUACUCGCCGAUCAUCAGUGAACACAAAGCAUGUGGAGGAUGUGUUGUUGUUCUAACAGUUGUGACGGGACUCCACAAGGACGGCCCCAAAGGCCAGGGGAGGGAGUCAGGAGCGGUGAGAUCCAAUCAGACUGCUCACGGUCCCUGCGUGCACAGAGCCCUCCCACCCCUCUCCAACAGCGCCUAUGCCCUUGGUUCCUGGCCCUGUGCUUCUCCCUCCUUUGCUCCUGCCGCCACUUCCCGGCCAGUACUGCUUUUGGCCCAGGCCAGUGCAGUCCAGCCGGAGCUCCUCUGGGACAAGCCUGUCCUGACCACUGCCCCUCCACACGAGGACGCCUUUCCUGGCCACGCUCCAGCUCUUCCUCUGCCUUGCUUUCUCCAAAGCAUGCUUAUAGCUGACAUUCCACUAUCUGUUUUGUGGCUAAAGGAGGAGGGGGCAUCUCUUCACUCCUUUAUUUCUUGUCUCUCCCCCCAGAAUUGUGCUGCCCCCUGUGGCAGCCACCAGCCAUGCAUGGUUCUUUGA
This 790-nucleotide long non-coding RNA is filed under the name Chinchilla lanigera (long-tailed chinchilla). Its description in RNAcentral is "lncRNA (ENSCLAG00000025157.1)". The record is from RNAcentral. Lineage: Eukaryota; Metazoa; Chordata; Mammalia; Rodentia; Chinchillidae.